Drosophila yakuba is the source of this 1462-nucleotide long non-coding RNA. RefSeq lists it as uncharacterized. The record is from RefSeq and is a predicted model, not a curated record. The transcript has 2 exons. Lineage: Eukaryota; Metazoa; Arthropoda; Insecta; Diptera; Drosophilidae.
GCGCUACCUGGUAGUCGCUUUAAAAUUGAAACUACGUUAAGCAAUAUUUGCUUGUCUAAGAAGAGAGUCCUUUGUGGUUCGGUGAGUCCAUCAGAGUCUGCCAAGCGCAGAGCAACCUUAUGUUGGAACAAGAUAUUCAGGCUUUAAUUUUUAACAUUAAAUCCCUUAUCCUUGUAGAUAACUUAAAUAAAUAAGCCAGAUGGAAUUAAAACAAAGCGGGUGAAAUUAGAAUUAUUAUACUAGAAAUUUACUUGGCCUGCGGUGUUUCAACAAAGUUUUUUGUCACAUCUAAUAUACGGACAGUGACAUAUUUUUAUCCUGCAUAUUCCUAGCCAAACUUUCUAUAAGCCUUUCCGCAUGUGUAAUGGAAAUUCGUUUAUUUCCGGUGAAAACUUUUCUAGGCUGUCAGUUGGCCCAAAACCAGUGCCAAUAAUAUAGCCAUUGCAGUUACAGCUAAUUCGCUUAAUUUCGCUCUCGAAAGUGGCCAGAGAAAAUAAAACAGCUUAACAGCGCUUUUUCUUGGUUUAUUUGUACUUUUCUGCCUUGUUUAUAGCCAACUGGCAACGAGUCGUGCAGUUCAGGGCCUGGGCCAUCGAAUGGGCUUUUAAUUGACAGGCCUGGGAGCGUGGGAGGGCUCCUCCGAGAAGGGAUCCAAUGAUAAAAAACAACUUGAGUGGCGGAAAAAAGGUCAUGCCAGGUAGGCUAACUGAAAAGCCAAAGCCAUAGGACAGCUGCGUUGCAUCGGCUUUUUGGGGCCGUUACUGGAGCUGCGAUUUAAAACUGGCCUGGGGAUUGGGAUGUGGAUGGGGAUGGAAAUGGUGAUGGGGACGGGGAUGGGGAUGGGGAGUGGAAAGUGUACUGGGUCUGGGACUCGGCCGACGGCAGCUGGGAAUUCACUCAGUCAUGGGGAGCUCGACUUGAUUAAAGAUUUCACACUUGAUUAAGCACCGGGGCCAGCAGAUCCAAUUGCCAGUUUCAAGAUCGCCGGGGCCAUUGUAGGUGCUUUCCUUACUGUUUGUUCAUCUCUUCCAGCUGUGUGAGCCGAAUUUUGUUUAUUUUUGGAUGUUAAGCACACAACUGCAAUUGUUAAACCUAAAGUGGCGGAACCAAAUGGCCAGAACAACGGCAGCUUAAUUUUUUAAACCAAAACCUUAAAUUGGAACCCAGCACUUGUACUAUCCACUAGGCCUUUUUGAUGAAUUGUUUAAGCACCCUUUAUGAAAUUCAGCAGUUCAGUUGAUGGAGUUUAUUUUAUUAAUUAAAAUAUUUAUGCACACUAACACAUAAAAUUCACCGCAAGCUUGAUGAAAAAUCAUUUAUUUCCAUCACUGGUUUUAAGUUAAGUUGGCCAUUAAGUUAUUUAAAGAGUAAAAAACAACAAAAUAAUAUUUGCUAUGCCAAUCUUAUUUUCCCGUACAAUCAUCCUUAAAGCAGAUGAAUAAUACAAAUAUUUUUUUAUAGA